UGAUCUCCCAGCUGGAACAAGAGGAAGAGCCAUGGGUCCCAGACCUCCAGGGCUCUGACGAAAGAGAGAUCCUGAGAGCUCCCCACACAGGUGGGAAAACAGUAAACCAACUCAGAAUCUUUUUGCUUUUUCCCCAUCCCUGCAUGAUGACAUGGAGAAAGUUGAAGUGCAGUUCUAUCAACAGGAGAGAACUCUCUAAUUUACUGGACAGGCUAACAAAGAAACAGCAGUGAUUUAAAAUCUCCACUCAGAAAUGGUGAACAACAGCACAACCCCAACUAACUGAAGGAAGUGCAUAUGAUCACAGCGUAUUUCAGUUAUUUAAGGCAAUAUUGUCUCCGAGAGCUGGGAAGAGAAUUCCAUGGUAAGUGGUUUUGAACUAGGCAAAAUGCUCAUGUGUCUGGUUCCCAAAGCAUUUGUAACCCAGGCCCUACAGAAGAUCUCUCCUAGCUAAUCCUAUGUUAUGGGAAAUGCAGCCGUUCAUGACACAGAUGUUGAGGAAAUAGAAAUGGAGUUUUUGUCGAAUUUAUCCUUUGUAGGUUCUAAAGAUGUGUAUAAAAUAAAACCAGUGUUGAAAAUGUAA
This is a long non-coding RNA of Gopherus flavomarginatus (Mexican gopher tortoise), 583 nucleotides long. RefSeq lists it as uncharacterized. The transcript is spliced from 2 exons. Lineage: Eukaryota; Metazoa; Chordata; Testudines; Testudinidae. The record is from RefSeq and is a predicted model, not a curated record.